Molecule: ribosomal RNA, 405 nt
Filed under: alpha proteobacterium GA-36
Lineage: Bacteria; Pseudomonadati; Pseudomonadota; Alphaproteobacteria
Description: bacterial SSU rRNA
Rfam family: Bacterial small subunit ribosomal RNA
Source: RNAcentral
GAGCUCAGAACGAACGCUGGCGGCACGCCUAACACAUGCAAGUCGAGCGAGACCUUCGGGUCUAGCGGCGGACGGGUUAGUAACGCGUGGGAACGUACCUUUUGCUUCGGAAUAGCCUCGGGAAACUGGGAGUAAUACCGAAUGUGCCCUUUGGGGGAAAGAUUUAUCGGCAAAAGAUCGGCCCGCGUCUGAUUAGAUAGUUGGUGGGGUAAUGGCCUACCAAGUCUGCGAUCAGUAGCUGGUUUGAGAGGAUGAUCAGCAACACUGGGACUGAGACACGGCCCAGACUCCUACGGGAGGCAGCAGUGGGGAAUCUUAGACAAUGGGCGCAAGCCUGAUCUAGCGAUGCCGCGUGAGUGACGAAGGCCUUAGGGUCGUAAAGCUCUUUCGCCAGGGAUGAUAAUG